Non-coding RNA from Merluccius polli (Benguela hake), 91 nucleotides. The record is from the annotation of a GenBank genome assembly. NCBI's taxonomy places the organism in Eukaryota, Metazoa, Chordata, Actinopteri, Gadiformes, Merlucciidae.
GUCAGGAUGGCGAGCGGUCUAAGGCGCUGCGUUUAGGUCGCAGUCUCCCCUGGAGGCGUGGGUUCGAAUCCACUUCUGAAGUGUUUAAGCA